UGAUAGCGAUGAAGCGUGAGGUUGCUGCCUGUAAGAUGGCAGGUUUUCCGUGGAGCGAAUGUCAAGUUAGGAAACUGGCGACAA
RNAcentral lists this non-coding RNA (84 nucleotides) under Lacrimispora saccharolytica. RNAcentral's name for it is "S10-Clostridia ribosomal protein leader". It matches the Rfam family "S10-Clostridia ribosomal protein leader". The record is from RNAcentral. Lineage: Bacteria; Bacillati; Bacillota; Clostridia; Lachnospirales; Lachnospiraceae.